AACGAACGCUGGCGGCAUGCCUAACACAUGCAAGUCGAACGAGACCUUCGGGUCUAGUGGCGCACGGGUGCGUAACGCGUCGGAACCUGCCCUUAGGUUCGGAAUAACUCCCCGAAAGGGGUGCUAAUACCGGAUAAUGUCUGCGGACCAAAGAUUUAUCGCCUUUGGAGGGGCACGCGUUGGUUUAGCUAGUUGGUAGGGUAAAAGCCUAUCAAGGCGACGAUACAUAGCUGGUCAGAGAGGAUGAUCAGCCACACUGGGACUGAGACACGGCCCAGACUACUACGGGAUGCAGGAGUGGGGAAUAUUGGACUAUCGGCGAAAGCCUGAUCCAGCUAUGCCGCGUGAGUGAUGAAGGCGUGAGGGUUGUAAAGCUCUUUUACCCGGGAUGAUAAUGACAGUACCGGGAGAAUAAGCUCCGGCUAACUCCGUG
RNAcentral lists this ribosomal RNA (433 nucleotides) under uncultured bacterium. Its description in RNAcentral is "partial 16S ribosomal RNA". It matches the Rfam family "Bacterial small subunit ribosomal RNA", at positions 29 to 507 of the family's 1533-position model. The record is from RNAcentral.